This 497-nucleotide ribosomal RNA is filed under the name uncultured bacterium. Its description in RNAcentral is "partial 16S ribosomal RNA". It matches the Rfam family "Bacterial small subunit ribosomal RNA", at positions 28 to 507 of the family's 1533-position model. The record is from RNAcentral.
GAUGAACGCUUGCGGCGUGCCUAAUACAUGCAAGUCGAGCGAACAGACGAGGAGCUUGCUCCUCUGACGUUAGCGGCGGACGGGUGAGUAACACGUGGAUAACCUACCUAUAAGACUGGGAUAACUUCGGGAAACCGGAGCUAAUACCGGAUAAUAUAUUGAACCGCAUGGUUCAAUAGUGAAAGACGGUUUUGCUGUCACUUAUAGAUGGAUCCGCGCCGCAUUAGCUAGUUGGUAAGGUAACGGCUUACCAAGGCGACGAUGCGUAGCCGACCUGAGAGGGUGAUCGGCCACACUGGAACUGAGACACGGUCCAGACUCCUACGGGAGGCAGCAGUAGGGAAUCUUCCGCAAAGGGCGAAAGCCUGACGGAGCAACGCCGCGUGAGUGAUGAAGGUCUUCGGAUCGUAAAACUCUGUUAUUAGGGAAGAACAAAUGUGUAAGUAACUAUGCACGUCUUGACGGUACCUAAUCAGAAAGCCACGGCUAACUACGUG